This 253-nucleotide ribosomal RNA is filed under the name uncultured bacterium. RNAcentral describes it as "partial 16S ribosomal RNA". It matches the Rfam family "Bacterial small subunit ribosomal RNA", at positions 524 to 776 of the family's 1533-position model. The record is from RNAcentral.
UACGAAGGGGGCUAGCGUUGCUCGGAAUCACUGGGCGUAAAGCGCACGUAGGCGGCUUGGUAUGUCGGGUGUGAAAUCCCCGGGCUCAACCUGGGAACUGCAUCCGAAACUGCCUUGCUCGAGUAUGGGAGAGGGAAGUGGAAUUUCCGGUGUAGCGGUGAAAUGCGUAGAUAUCGGAAGGAACAUCAGCGGCGAAGGCGACUUCCUGGACCAAUACUGACGCUCAGGUGCGAAAGCGUGGGGAGCAAACAGG